This is a non-coding RNA of Lactuca sativa (garden lettuce), 360 nucleotides long. The record is from RefSeq and is a predicted model, not a curated record. Lineage: Eukaryota; Viridiplantae; Streptophyta; Magnoliopsida; Asterales; Asteraceae.
GAUAUAUCCAUCAUUUGAAGAUGCCUAAGCAGUUGUUAAAUUUUCUCAUUUUUGUUUCCAUUUUCAGCCCAGGUAUCGGUAUGAAUGACAACAACAAUUGGAUAACAAAAUCUAUGAUGAUGAAAACAAAUUCUAAUAUUCAUGAUUCAGGCACUGAUGCGAUAAAAGGUGUAUGUAUUGGACCUAGUCCCGUCUGUAAAGGACUCCCAGUCCGUUCAUGUUAUUGUUGUAUUGGACCGCAUAUACAUAUUUGCACACCGCUGUAUGAAAUGUGCAAAAGAUAUUGUUCUAUAAUGGAAAUUUGAUGAUUAAUUGUAACGUCAUCACCAUCACAAAUAAUAUAAUAUUCCUUGUUCUUUA